RNAcentral lists this ribosomal RNA (519 nucleotides) under uncultured bacterium. Its description in RNAcentral is "bacterial SSU rRNA". It matches the Rfam family "Bacterial small subunit ribosomal RNA", at positions 8 to 518 of the family's 1533-position model. The record is from RNAcentral.
AGAGUUGAUCCUGGCUUAGGAUGAACGCUAGCUACAGGCUUAACACAUGCAAGUCGAGGGGCAGCAUAACGAAAGCUUGCUUUGUUGAUGGCGACCGGCGCACGGGUGAGUAACGCGUAUCCAACCUUCCCUAUAGUAGAGAAUAGCCCGGCGAAAGUCGGAUUAAUGCUCUAUGUUCUUCUUUGAUGGCAUCUGAUGAGAAGCAAAGGUUCACCGCUAUAGGAUGGGGAUGCGUCUGAUUAGCUUGUUGGCGGGGUAACGGCCCACCAAGGCUACGAUCAGUAGGGUUCUGAGAGGAAGGUCCCCCACAUUGGUACUGAGACACGGACCAAACUCCUACGGGAGGCAGCAGUGAGGAAUAUUGGUCAAUGGGCGAGAGCCUGAACCAGCCAAGUAGCCGUGCAGGAUGACUGCCCUAUGGGUUGUAAACUGCUUUUAUAGGGGAAUAAAGUGAGGAACGUGUUCCUUUUUGUAUGUACCCUAUGAAUAAGGACCGGCUAAUUCCGUGCCAGCCGCUGC